ACCGGUGAUCCAACAGGAGGUCAUUAGUCAAAGAUCUGUAAUCUGAUUGGUCCAGUUAGGAGUAGCAGUGGUUCUACUGAAUUGUUCUUCCAAGAAACAAAGACCCAGCAAACCGGCACCGACCCCAGGAAUGCGGUGAAACUUCCUUCAACUCAGACAAUGUUCCCAUUAGAAACUGUUUUAAUAGAGAAACCAUCACGCAGCUAAAUCUCUACAAACAUCGCCCUCUAGUGGUUCUGGAUGGCAGUGCAUGGAAGCAUCUAUUUACUGACUGGAACUCCUGCACGAUAAAUCCACCAACAGUCAAAGAUUUCUUUCCCUAAAUAAUAUUUUAUCCGUUUUUAUUAACCUCCCUCGUUUCCAGCUGAACCAGAGUGUUCUCUGGCAGGUUCUGUUGUUCUUGGAGAACCCGCCAGCGGCCCGAUCGGCCUCAUUAAUCCUCUCAGCAGGUUGCCUCUCAGAAGGAGAUGUUUGCUGCAGCAACCCUCCGUCUGGAGGCGCUUCAGAGUUUGGAGGAAAGAAGAAGUGCUUUUAAUUGGAUCUGGCAGCUUUUCCACUGAUGGAUGUCAGGUGGAAACAAGCAGGAAUCUUCACAGAGGAAACAGACUGCUGGAGGUUUUUAUUAAUCGUCUUCCUCUAAUUUAGCAGAGCGAGCUGUCGUUGAAUUACUGAGACUCGUCCUGCUAUGGAGUUUUUUCCACCACACAAUUUAUCUUUCUGGCUGCUUUAAGCCUCCAAUUUGUAAUGAGUUAUUGGGCUGUUCCCCAAUAUUCCCCAGUGAUUGAGCAGGAAGUAUUCGGGACGUGAUUUAUAGAUGUUAAUUGUGGAGCUCACAAUGGAGAGGAGGAGGCGCACAUCUGGAGGAGUCAUCACGGCUGGAGCCAAGCUGCCGCUCCUGGGAGGGAAGGAAAAGGAGAGCUGAAUGCGAACGACCUGCGACCCCCCGGGUCCCCAGCGGGAGCCCCGGAUGCCUUUGGGUCAGGCCUCCUCCAUCCAGGACUGAUUAAGGUCAAAGGUGGGAGGGUUCAUCUCUGACAGACCCAGAAACACCACCUGCACUCAACAUCACUUCCUGUUUGCUCCGUGAUGCAGCCCUCUCUGGAAAUCCAACUCCUUGCUCCUUCAGACUAGCCAACAUCCGUCCAACACAUCCUGGUUCCCAUCUCAGCAACGCAACGGACAGAACGGUGGCGGCGGUUCCCACAAGGUGGAGGAAGGUCUUAGCCGCAGAGUUUCCCACAGAGCCGGACGACACGCCCAACAGAUUUAUGCUUCUCCCAGCGAACGAAGCUGCAGCUGAACCUCAACGAACUGCGACCUCAUUCUGGAAACACGCAGAGGCAGCAGGAAGCCAGCAGGACACACACCGACUUCACCGCCAACAAGACACACACCGACUUCACCGCCAACAAGACACACACCGACUUCACCGCCAACAAGACACACACCGACUUCACCGCCAACAAGACACACACCGACUUCACCGCCAGCAAGACACACACCGACUUCACCGCCAACAAGACACACACCGACUUCACCGCCUACAAGACACACACCGACUUCACCGCCAACAAGACACACACCGACUUCACCGCCCUCGGGACCAGUGAUGGCAUAGUUACUUUGAAAAAGUAACUUUAAUCGGAUUACUGAUUACUCCCUGAAAAAGUA
Gambusia affinis (western mosquitofish) is the source of this 1671-nucleotide long non-coding RNA. RefSeq lists it as uncharacterized. NCBI's taxonomy places the organism in Eukaryota, Metazoa, Chordata, Actinopteri, Cyprinodontiformes, Poeciliidae. The record is from RefSeq and is a predicted model, not a curated record. The transcript has 3 exons.